RNAcentral lists this long non-coding RNA (1216 nucleotides) under Olea europaea subsp. europaea. The record is from RNAcentral. Lineage: Eukaryota; Viridiplantae; Streptophyta; Magnoliopsida; Lamiales; Oleaceae.
UAAAAUUCUAAUAAUCUAGUAGAAUCUGAAAAAUAGUCGUCCAAUAUCUCUAGAAUUUGACUAAAAAUAGAACUCUAAUAAAAUAUGAAAAAACACGAAAAAUGAAAAAUUCUACCCGAUUUAAUACUAUGCGACCGCAUAGUGUAAACCUAUGCGAUCACAUAGUUCAAUUGAACUAUGUCCACAUAGUCCCUGCCCCUAUGCAUGCAGUCGCAUGCCUAUUAUAGCUAUGCGGCCACAUAGCUAUCUCUUUUGCCCCCGACUUCGUCCGUUUUUAUCGAGUUGAUCCACUUUGAUUCGACUCUCGACCCGAACAUGAAAGUUGUCCCAUUUUGCGUCCAGAACAUUGUCCCAUCAAUGGUUUCUCGAACGAGCAACCCAUCGCUUGUUUCACUUGCUUUGCUCUCGAUCGCGUCAUCGGUCCGCCUUCGAUAAUCAACGGAUCUCGACUCAAACUCGUCGUCUUCAAACUUGAUUCUUGGAUCACAUAAUCCUCUCCCUCUUCAAAAGGAUUCGUUCUCGAAUUUGCAUCUGCAUCAAAAAGGGAAAGAUCAGCAACGUUAAAUGUAGUCAGUACAUUAUACUCACCUGGCAAGUCCACUUUGUAGGCAUUAUCGUUGAUCUUCUCGGUGACUUGGAAAGGACCAUCUCUCCGCGAUUUCAAUUUGGACUUUCGCUGCUUUGGAAAACGUUCCUUCUGUAAAUGUACCCACACCCAAUCUCCGGGUUCAAAUGUCACACGCUUCCGCUCUUUGUUUGCUGUUGAUGCGAUGAGCUUGCUCUUCUCUUCAAUUUGCGUAUGGACCUUCUCAUGAAGUGCCUUCACCAUCUCAGCUUUCCUCUUAUCAUCCAUGCUACAUCGUUCAUUCACAGGUAAAGGAGAUAAAUCCAAUGGAGUUAGUGGAUUAAAUCUAGACACAAUUUCAAACGGUGAAUAAGACGUAGUCGAAUGCACAGCACGAUUAUAAGCAAACUCAAUAAAUGACAAGCAAUCUUCCCAAUUUCUUAAGUUCUUAUUAAUCACUGUUCGAAGCGAUUGAGUCAUGGUCCUAUUUACUACUUCAGUUUGACCAUCUAUUUGUGGGAGACAAGUUGUAAAAAAUAACAAUUUAGUUCCUAACUUAUUCCACAAAACACGCCAAAAAUGACUCAAAAAUUUAACAUCAUGGUCCGACACAAUACUUUUAGGGAUUCCAUGCAAACGUACUAUCUCCCU